RNAcentral lists this ribosomal RNA (301 nucleotides) under uncultured bacterium. Its description in RNAcentral is "partial 16S ribosomal RNA". It matches the Rfam family "Bacterial small subunit ribosomal RNA", at positions 509 to 807 of the family's 1533-position model. The record is from RNAcentral.
CAGUCGCCACGGUAAUACAGAGGGUGCAAGCGUUAAUCGGAAUUACUGGGCGUAAAGCGCGCGUAGGUGGUUUGUUAAGUUGGAUGUGAAAUCCCCGGGCUCAACCUGGGAACUGCAUCCAGAACUGGCAGGCUAGAGUAGGGCAGAGGGUGGUGGAAUUUCCUGUGUAGCGGUGAAAUGCGUAGAUAUAGGAAGGAACACCAGUGGCGAAGGCGACCACCUGGGCUCAUACUGACACUGAGGUGCGAAAGCGUGGGGAGCAAACAGGAUUAGAUACCCGGGUAGUCCCUGUCUCUUAUAC